This is a long non-coding RNA of Gasterosteus aculeatus aculeatus (three-spined stickleback), 10463 nucleotides long. The record is from Ensembl. NCBI's taxonomy places the organism in Eukaryota, Metazoa, Chordata, Actinopteri, Perciformes, Gasterosteidae.
UUCUAAAGCGUUGUCUAUAAGCUUAGCUCAUAGGCACGCAGCACGGUGGCUUUGACCACAUCAUAAUGUAAACUGUCUUCUAUAGAGAGGCCAUGACCUCCUGGGCCUUCCCAGUUAGCUUACAUUGCAAGAGUAGAGGCCAGACAUAUUUGGGCCACUGCAGAGCAGCAGCUACCCACUCAAAGGCAGAGAAAUAAGAGUCUACCUCAGACUCACGAAAUGGGGGAACCACCGCAAUAUUCCUUCCCACAUCAAAAUGGCCGGUCUUACCCACUGGGUGAGAAGAUCUCUCUGCAUCAAGCUCCAUUCGUUGAAUGUGAAUACGAGCCUCCUUGCCUGCCUCUAUUUUUCUCAUUUCUAUCUCAUACCUCCUUUUGUCUUCCCUGUUUUUUUGGUCUGCUUCCAGCCGGGCUGUUUUCAACUUUAGCCGAGCAACCUCUACAGACUCUGAGAACUCGGGAGACGACCGUGCAUACUUUGGCAGAGUUUGAGGCACUGGAGCUUCCCCAUCUCAAACACUGCCCUUUGGCCUUGCUGGCGAGAGAUUCUCUACAGGGCCCUCAUCCUUCUCAUCCUCUGUUUCCACAUCCUCCACAGCCAUAACUCCUGCCCUAGACACUCAAUAAAUAGCUUUUGAUCACCAUUACCAACUUCUCUUUACGAGCCUGUUUUUCAACUGUAAGAUUGUAGUGGUCCGCUAGCGCUAACAAAUCCACCUUACGCAGGUUAAACAGUAAACCCAACGAGGGCUCCGAAAUAAAGCCUGCCACAUCCGAAGAAGUUGCCAUGCUCACACCACAACCCUGCACUAUUCAGUGCACAACGAACACUACAACUACCAAUACUACAAACUAAAGGACAGAACAACAACUACCAGGCAAGACAAAAAAAAACUACCUUACUCUCACCCCAACACCGCACCCCAAUCACCAACCACAGGGUGGUCCGAGCAGCGGGGUGCCAAGAUCCCGGACGAGCCCCCAAUUGUUACGUUCCAGCUCCCAAAAGGGAGGGGAACAUGACAACCCACUGCUCCGGCCCACCGGUGCCAGCAAAAGGGGUAUGGAGUCACGGUGCGAGAAAAGGACAAACACCAAAUACAGUAUAACGCUUUUACAAAUUACUAAAAUAAAUACACAUAAAUAAACAAUAUCUUUCUGGGAAAAGGGGAGGGCUGUCCGGACCAAAACAAAGAAAUAAACAAAAAGGUCCCCACCCCUAACCUGUACUAACCCCCUAUUGAAAACACAAUCUCUACCCAAACGUACAGGUGGUGGUCCUCUCAGGUCUAAACUGGUGUUUCUAGACAGAGAAGUAAACCUACGGGUGAUGUAUACUCCGGGGUGGCUCUAAAUCUACUCCCCACUCCCUGUGAACAAAAGAGGAAACAAAUAAUUAGUCAAAUGACACAAACAAACAAUUGCUCCCUCCUGCUGCUACACAUUCCAAAAGGAACACAAGUUAUUUAACACUAUCGCAAUUGAAUAUAUCCUCACACAGGGUACAAACCAAAGACAACAUAACAGCAUAUGCAGCGAGCAUGCAGCGCCAGAGCUGGUCCAAAACUGGGCUUUUUAAAGAGCCCAGCCAGCUGCAACCACUGACGAGGGGGGUGGAGCUCCGGGUCCCAAUCCUACCUGGAAAACACACACACACACGCAACUACAAGUAAUCCCCAAAUCGGAAUCAUUAUAUGAACCCAGAUUUCUGGGGACAACAGCAAUCAUGAGGCACGAUGAACUCCUCCACGUGACGAGAACGGCCCUGGUUCAGGCCCAGGUUUAACAUCCUGGCAGGACAAACAAGAUUACUUCAAUUUUUUUGUUGUGUAUUGGUUUAAAUGCAAAUGUUGAUACAUCUCUAUUCCUCCAUACAGUCACAUUAUGAUCUUCCGCACCUUUUGCCUCUAGAAAUUUUCUCUAACGGGACCUCUUCACAUUUUACCCCUGAUCUAGGCCCUUAGCAAGAGGAUCUGCCACAAAUAUAAGCUCUUGCUGAAAUUUUCAAGAAAGCGUCUGAUGCAGUGUAAACCUAAGUUGUCACCUGCAAUGGCACAGAGUUCCUUUUGUAGGUUUUACCAUCAGGGAGUGUGAUGCCACUUGUCUCAAGAUCUUCUAGAUCUCUGAUCAAAGAUCCAAAUACUAGCUCUUGGUCAAAAUACUGUCCUGCUCUUUAUAUAGCAAUACUGCAACGACUUCAUUUUCUUUUCCCUGAUCCAAUUAGAUUUACAACUUUUAAGGCAUCUUCAAAAAGAAUAAUGCCUAAUGAAGAUUUUUCUAGCUCAACAUUGUGUUUUUUUUAAACAACGAUAUCCCACAUACCUCUAUCCAAAACACUCCUUGGCUGACCCACUGAAAAAAUGGGCACUGAUUUAUUAUAAUCAGUUAGUCUUGAAGACAGCUUUCUCCUCCGAUAGUUUUAAUGUUUGUGUUUGAGAUAUUCACAUUUAUGGGGUAUCAAUUAUUUCCUCUGUCAGUUUCUGCUAGAUCCAGAUUCUAAGUUCUUCCUUGAGUUUGAAAACUAGUUGUGACUAGGCUGAUGUCACGUAUAUGUUGAUAAUCUGAAUCACAGAGGCAGGAAGGAGAAAUCUGGCUUGCAAAGAAAAACAUUUCCGGAAGAAUUUAUUCUCUUAUUCUCAGCCUCUGGGCAUACUUCAGACUGUUUGCAAUUCUGACCUGGAUCAUGAAAUUUCAUAUCACUAUUAAACACAAUGCAGUCCAUAAUACCGGGAUGUGCCGAGUGACGUGGUUGAAGACUGGACUGGGAAUUCUUGUUACAUGUUCUGACGCAUGAUAUGUUAGUGGAAAGGCCAGUCCGGGUUCCGGAUAUGUUUACAGCAUUUUUUUUCAUUAACCUAAUAUAGCGGAAUAGACCAAGUAAAACAUUAUCUAAGAAUUUAACAGUUCAAAAAUCAUGAAAACAAAAAGUACCUUUAAUUUGGUAUGAGAAACGCAACCCCUGAAGAAACAAGGUAACUCUUCCGUUGUUGAACUGCACUGACAUGGGUUCUGAAUGAAUGGAGGCUGCCGUCACGUCCAGGAGCAGUCAGUCAUGUCUUGUCACUCAAAAAUUACCUUUUUAGGCAAUAAACAGCAUGAAUAAUACGAAUAUUCUAACAUCCUUACAGACACAUUAACCUUCAAUAAAGAGUAGAUGGAUUGUGAUUCACUGGACUUGUGUAUUUUCACCACUUCACAAAAUAUACUGUAUCUAUCAUGCUGUUAAAUUACGGGUGCCUGCUGUUGUCGUGAAAUGACCACAUUAGCUGUUCAUUUAUUCCAUUGACCAUUCAUUUACAAGCAAGGGAUGAACAUUUUACUGUAAUGUUAAAGGUUUUAACUACAUACUAAUAAGAGAUACCAUUCAAAAUCCACCGUAAAUUUACAGCUAUUCACAACAGCAUGCUGUUCUUGCGUCUGUGGAACAUGAAGCAGGGGCUCACAUGUGUGGAGAUGGCCGUGUUUUGGAGAAAGCGGGAGUUGGGAGUCGUGACAGGUUGUGUUGCCAACACCGAGUUGAUGAGAGUAUGCAGAGUUAUCAUCUGCCUCACAUCAGCUUCCUAUUUUGAAAAUCCUCACAAAGUGAUGUCCUCAGGCGGCACACAGCAGGUUUAUCCGCUGAUGGGAGCUUAGCAGUACAUAUGAAUAUGCCGGCUGCACUGUUCUUAUCAGCGUGGCCUUGCCUCCGUCGGUUCUGUCGGGGAUGUGAUAAUGCAUUCAAUAACAUGGUUUUCUCUCUGAGAUUAUAUUUUCCCCAGAAACAAAGGCUUGUGUUCACUGUGAAACAAAAUAGCCCAUUACCAGACAAGUUCCUAAGUGCCGGAGGUAAUGCUUUCACAUUCAGCAUUAUCUCCACGGCAAAUGUCUGAGAUAAGGAAGAAAAUAAAGACAAAAAAAUUGAAGUGGGAUAUCUAGCUGGCACAUAACAUUUGGAGUGAGCCAGCAGUUGCUGCUCAUUGACACAAUGAAAUCUUACGUCCGGUUGAUGAAUGAAUACUUCUGCAAAUAUAUUGCAUGAUUUUACAGCAGACGACCCUGCAGCACAAUGGAAACAUGGUUAAAACAACCCAACAGGAGAGAGUAUUCUGCGAGGGCGAGCCCACUGUGUCACUGGGAUCAGCCCUUGUCACUUUCAAGAAACUGAAUCAAUUUUUCAAAAUUGUGCCACGUACAGCAAGAAGGAAUAAAACGCCACGUGUGAUUGUGAAAGCAGAACGCCAGAGGGGAUGAAACCGUAAACCUUUUAAAAAGGAAAGAUAGUAUGAAUCUAAAAGCUUAUUAGCUCAUCAAAGGCUUUUUGGAUCCCCCCACCCCCCCUCCCUGCUCGCCUCGCUGAGAGUGUCAAUGUUAGCGGAAAGGAUCUCAUUAAUUUUGUUGGUAGAUGAAAAACAGUGGCCACUAUUCCAGAGUAAACAGCAAGGUUUUAAUAAUAAUAAGCUGACAGCUGGGGCUCUCAGUCUUUCUUGCUGUCCUCUGAAGGUUUAAAAAGGUAGUGGCCCGCCAGAUAACAGACUCCUGGAAAGGUAAAACGCCUCUGAUGGGAAUGAAACCCAAGAGGAACAGGACAGGAGGAUAAAAAAGCAUCACCUCUCAACGUGACCCUCAGCAAAAGAGUCCAAUUUACUCUUCAGCAAACAGUCGGAAGUCUCUUGCAUGAUAAUAGGACGAAAUUGUUGGUCUCUAUCACGUGGAGGAGCUGCAAGAGACAUUGCAGUCAUAAAGCAGGAUAUGUUUCCGUGAUUAUGACCGGACCAUAGAAAAACUGAGACAUGAGUGCAGUAGACUUUUUUUGGGGGGGAGAAUUUGGUUACUUUAUUGGAUCUCCAUAAACCAAUGCUAAUCUUUUCUAAUAUUCAUGUGCAGUGUUCAGUAUAUUAAUAAUAAUCUACAAUAUUGCGUUAUAGAUCAUUUGUCAGAUGACAAAGGAAAAAAAUGCUGUACAUUCCUGUUGUACAAUUUUUGACUUUCCAAACAGGCCAAUCGCGAAUUGCUCAAACAGCCGCUUCCUCCGCUACUGCACAACAGCUGUGGAUGUUACAUUGACCAGGUAGUUGUUUUGUGAUGUUCCCUUCAAAGCAUAGGUGUCAGAGGUCAAGGCCGGGAAUCUGGCCCGCCGGAUCACUUUGCUAUUGUGAGAAUUCUAGAAAAACAAAUCAAAUUUCUAUUAAAGUAGCUGCUAUUCUUUUCUAUCAGUGCCGCUGGACCGCCUGCUGUUGAAAUGGAAAAUCCGUGGCCGACCGCGGGAGCUAGCAGAAAAAUUGAACCAGCUGAUGGUUGGGGCGGGGGUAGAUUGCCAUGAGUGAGUCGAUUGAAAUCCGUCGGCCGGACCAUCCACUAACGCCAACCCCCCCCGUUGGUGCAACCAUAGGAUUUUACAGGUCUUCCCCACUUAAGAUCAAAGUGGGCCGGAUGUGGCCUCUUACCUAAAAACAGUUUGACGCGACUGCCUUAAAGGCUCAGCGUUAGGUGUGACCUAUUGUGACUACUUGGACCCAAUAAAGCACAAACGUUCAGUCCAAACUUGUGCAUUUGUUCACCACUAAGAGGUAUCCGUUUUUGGUGCUCUAUAACACUAGUUAUAGUGUGGAAACUUCUAAACGUUGGGAAAUUUAAAAAUAAAAGUAGUAUGGACAUGUUCCAAGCGGCUCCUGGAAUGGGUUGAUUGAUUCAUCAGCUUUGCUUCUGCUGCUCCACAGCUUUACGGUGAAAGCAAUAAAACGUAUAAAAAUGGGGAUAGGGAUGGUAAUCUUAUUUAGUUCAGGAUUAUAUGCUUCUCCGGGCAUAAUAUAUUUGGGUUUUGAUAAGAAUAUUUUCCAGUAAUUUAAAAUUAAAAUGGAUAAGUCAUUCAAUUUUAGCUAGAGGUAAUAUUGCAAAGAAAUCAGUAAAUAAAUCAAGAGUCAAGAAAAAAAACAGCAGCAAACACGUUUAUUAGCUUGUAUGCAGACUUUUUUUCUUGCAUGUGAUACGAACUAAUUCAACAGUAACAUAUUACAAAAUAUGUACAUGCUACAGUAGCUGUUACAACAAACAUCGUUCUCUUCAGCUUAAUACUGCUUUCCCCAGUCGCCCUUAAACAAAAUUAAAUUUAUAGUUACUUCAUAAUAACACAAUGCAACAAAUGGAGCAAAGUUCAGUUUCAAUCAGGAGAGAAUCAUUCCGAAUGAACAAUACUUUUAUUACAUCGGUCACAUUGGAAUUGUGCAUGUCUUUGAACCCAAACCGGAUAAUCAAGGGGCCGCAAUGCCAAGUCCUGCUCCAACAGAAUCCCCCCUGGAGUCGAGACACUGGUGGUGGUGAAUAAGGGAAGUUGCUGCAAGCCUAUGCUGCCCGUGGAGCAUGACUGAAGGUGGCUGGAGGUGCCUGGAGUGGAGGAGGGUUGCAUUCAACUGGGAGUUUUAUAAACUAAGAUGUGAUGUUAUACAUUGUUUCGGUCUAUGGAUAUUAAUUUAAAAGUGAACUCCCGCUUCCGUCCUAACUAAAGUAUACUUUGCUGUCCAGCAAUGAGAUGUGUCCUCAAAAUACAGCCUGGAGGGUUGAGUCCCUCGACUAUAUUCGGAGGAGCGACAGAAUGGGACAGCAGAGUUGCAGCCAAAGUGACAUAUGCAGUCAACAAAUGCGUCCGCAUUAGGAUGCCGACGGAGACACAACUUGUGUGGGCAUGUUGCACUGCCAUAUUUUAGAUUGCAGGUCAUUUAGCUGAUGCUUUUAGUGGCUUACAAUAAGUGCAUUCAACCAUAGGGAUACAAACUCCGAAGAGCAAGAAAUUGCAAUUUCAAAGUAUUCUACAUCAAAUAUUUCUACAGAAGGGACAAAUCAACCACCAGCUCCAAAGAAUGCCCAAAGCGUGAAGUUACUGAAAGGCCACCUACGUGAGCCGCAAAAUUCAAAUCUGUAGUUCCACCAAAUGCGCUUCAGAUUUCAAUAUUCUUAAGGUAAUGUUAUUGCGGUAAGGACGGCAUCUGAGGAAGGUGUCGGGAUCUCCGAUCGCAACACGUUGAUCAAUUAAGUCAAAAAGUUAAUUUAUUGGAGAAAAAGAUAACAUGAGCAAUUCUCCGCAGAUAUGUUUGGCUCUAACUAUUGCUUGCAAGCAGGAGGUCGAAUACACAAGCACGUAUUUCAGCGUAAAAGGCAUCUCCGAGCAGUAAAAACGCUGAGUCUUUAUACACAUGUGAAGGCCAGUGCCGGGUACAAGAAGCGGCAAAUCAGGUUGAGAUAAGAACCCAGGUGAAGAUGAGGGUAACACACCCGGUUCCUUUGUUAGAGCGCCUGUGAGAGCAAGUUAACUCCCUUCUUCAGACACAGCUGCAUAUGGAGGCCUUUAAAUCUUUUCUGCCUUUGCACAUCAGGGUCAAAUACAGACACUUGAGAGAUGGCUUUAGCACAAGACAGUGUUGUAACAAACUUUACCAUUACAUGCAUCUCACAAAGGUAAAUGGGCUUUUUGCACUCUGUGGAUUACGUUACCCAACUCCUGCAAAGAGGAGUGAGAAAGGGUAUAUUAGUUAGGUAGUGAUCUGAAAACUCACCAUAGAAUAGAAGUACUUUAUUGAGCCCCUAGGGGAAAUUUAGUAGGCCCUUAAAAAAAAAAAAAAAAAAGCAUUAAAAAAAAGCAUCAAAAAGAACCCUAAGUACAAAGUACAAAUGAGGCAGUCCAAUUCAUCUCAGUCUAAAGACAUGCACUUAAGGUUAAUGGGUGAAAAUGGCCUAAUGGUGUGUGAAUGGGAGAGAUAAUGGUUGCUUGUCUAUGUCAGCCCUGCGAUUAACGGGCGAUCAGUCCAGGGUGUAGCCUGUCUCACUCCCAAAAUUAGCUGCGAUUGACUCCAGCCCGCCCGGAUUAGCAGUAUAGAAAUGGAUGGUAAUUAAAUUGAGCGUUUGUAAAUGUGUAUACAAAAAUGCGCAUGUAUCGGAAUUGUAUGUGGCGCUUUGUUCUUUAUGUUUGCAUACAGUACUUUGCUGCUCACUUUUAUAGGUUGUAUAAAUAAGUUAUCAACCACAAGAUAUUUGCAGAUUAAACCUUUAUAGCACAACGUGAGAUUGAUAGCCAACAGUAAAUAUUACAUUUAUGUUGUCAAAUCCAGGAGCCAAUCAGCGCUUUUAUCUGGUGACAACAAGGCAUUUCCAAUGACCGAGUCAUGCACCCAGUAGAAAGUGGCGUCUGGCUCUAAAGACUGCAGCCAGCGGAGGUUAUCGUUUAAGACUUGUGCAUUACGUCAGAGCAUGUCAAGAUCCAGUUUGGCAAAAAUGUAACAGGCAUGAAUUGUGCAAAUCAUGAUUCUGAGCAGGACCACUUCAACUCAAACUAGCCAAAUAGUUAAAAUUACCAUACAUUAGUCAAAAAAAGGCAAACAAUGCUAAAAAGCACAGAACGGUGGAAUGAGCUCUCUGAUGACAUCAGGAUUUUCUGCCACAAACUAAAGACACAUCUUCAGACUCUACCUUCACUAAAAAGACACUAACAAACUGUAGCACUUAAAUUGUACUUAUAAUGGCACUUCUCUAUAGAAAAUUGUAAAUUGGCUUAUUUGAUGAAAUCGCACUUUGUUUCUUGUUCUUCAGAGUUUGUAUCCCUAUGGUUGAAUGCACUUAUUGUAAGUCGCUUUGGCUAAAAGCAUCAGCUAAAUAACAUGUAAUCUUAUACACAUGCAAAAAGACAUUGCUCUAUAAGUCACCCCUCAUCCAGUGGAACUCACUGUGGAGAUCAAAGGCCAACAGAUAUAUUAGGAGUCAUCUGGGCUUUUAAGCAGCUGAAUAAAUGUACUCUGUAAUCUAUCAGGACCCUGGCGAUGAAGUAGACUGGGCCACAUGAGUUUUAUCAGCCUAGUAAUUGGUCAUGUUGACACGCAUGGUCUUUAAAAAAGGGAUGGGAAAUGCGAGGCAUUCAGCCUUAUAUUGAAGUUGGCCAUUUAUAAAAGGAAUUAUAUGGCCCCUGUCAUACGGAGAAAGUUUCACAAAUGUAAAUAAAUGCAUUCCCUGGAUGCUAAAGGGUCAGAGGCAUGUAAAAACCGGUGGUUGUGCAUGGGUAGAUAUGGUGAAUCUACAUCUACAAAGAUGGUCUCUGGUAUCAGGUGUUAACCUCCCAAUGAUAUGGCUCCUGCUCAAUUACCUUUGACUUCUUGAAGAGGGUGCUGUGAGAGGCUUUGGUCGGGAAAUUUUAUCGGUUUCAAACAGUGCUCACAAUGGACUAAUACACAAAUCCCAUUUUUUGAUGAGUGCCAUCUCUUUGCAUCUUUUUCAAGUGACCGUAUUUAGACUUGUAUUCACUUGAAACUUACAUGUACUGUCCACACUCUGGGCUCUGUUUAUGACAUUUGAGGCAAAUCUCAAUUCUAACUUUGUGUGGAAUAUUGAUAUUUUUUUUUAACGUUAACUGAUUUUAUACAUCUUCGCACACAUAGGGGUUCCCCUCUUUUCCCACAAAAAAAAAAAAAGUAUAUGACACACAAAUGAUAAAAAGUGUCUAUUUCUUCAUUUUAAAACACCUGUUGAAGAGGGAACCAGUCUGCCAGGUUUAAACCCUUUUCACAAUGCACUCAAAUGACUUCAAUGUUCAUAGUUUUAUUUCGCCAACGAGAUGUUUGAGUGAAAUUGCUCAAAGAAUUUUCCCUUCUCUGGUGAGAGUGAAAAAGAAAGCAUUCUGGAUAUAUACACCAUUCUAAAGAAUUUUGAAAAUGAUAAUAAAAACGCUCGUUAAAUGAUUAUAUUGGUCAUCUGAAUAAGCACAUUUGAUGGAACAGUUCCCUUCUUUGACUGUCAGUCCAGAUGCUCCCUGCGAAUAUGGAUAUCUGUCGCUUAGUUUGACAUCAGAUAAUUCUUUGGGUAUUUUGACGGAAUUACUUGCUCUGAAGUCAAUAAAGAAAUUUAAUUUCUUUUCUCAUAUUGAUAUCUCUCUGGGAACCGUCACCUUAUCGUGGUGGAGAGGUUUGUGUGUCCCUAUGAACCUGAGGGCUGUGUUGUCGGGAGCCUUGUGCUCCUGGUAGGGUUACCCUUGGCAAAGUGGUCUCAGGCGAGGGGCCAGACUAAGAAUGGUUCAAGACCCCCAUGAAAAAACGGAAGAGGGACGGAGUUACCCGGCCCGGAGGAAGCCCGGGGCCCCCAUUUGGAGCCAGGCCCAGAUGGAGGGCCCGACAGCGAGCCCCAACACUCUACUCCCCAUGGGCUCACCACCUGUGGAGGAAACCGAUGGGGUCGGGUGCGCUGCUACAAGGGUGGCAGUGACAGUGGGGGGUCUAGACGGAACAGACCUGGGCGGCAGAUGCUGGCUCUGGGGACGUGGAACGUAACCUCUCUGGGGGGGAACGAGCCGGAGCUUGUGCGGGAGGUGGAGCGUUAUCAGUUGGAUCUGGUGGGGCUUACCUCUACGCACAGCCUCGGCUCUGGAACCACACUCCUGGAUAGGGGGUGGACUCUAUUCUACUCCGGAGUGGCCCAUGGUGUGAGGCGCCAGGCGGGUGUGGGGAUACUCAU